GGGGUUUAAAGAUUGAGAAAUUUCGUGUUCUCUGCCCAGACAACCGGAAUUCCGGUUGGUUCAUCCGGAAUUCCGGUUGGAGUUCAUCGGGAAAUGCUGAAUUUUGUUUCGGCCAUAACUUUUGACUCGGGACUCCGUUUGGGAUGUUCUUUAUACCGUUAGAAAGCUCUUUUCGAGCUCUAUGUGAUUAUAUAUAUUUGAAAUGCCAUGAAUUUAUUUUAUGAAUAUGAAAUCAGGGGUUAACCCUAUUUGUGAAAAUCCCAGCUUGUGUGACUAGGAUUACCGGCACCUGGUCAGGAGCACCCGGGGAUUCAGAAUCUCUGCCUUUGCGGGACAACAGGAAAGGGUAAGUCAGUGGCUGAUCAACCAUGAGUUUGAGGAGCAAGAUGAAGAAUGUACAUGUUCAAGCCAUAUCAGACCAAGCGGGUUAAGGGUCUAUCAGUGAUGAACUUUUGAAUUCUAUUUUGCCGUUUAGGUCGGCUAGAAAUAAAUGACUUGUAAUAGCGUUUGUAAAUAUUUUUGGGAUCCCAACUAUUUUAAAAGUUUUAAAUAUAUUACAAGUUUAUUUUCUUUCUGUUUAAUAUAAAAGUUUAAAUUCUGCGCUA
This is a long non-coding RNA of Cannabis sativa, 605 nucleotides long. RefSeq lists it as uncharacterized. Lineage: Eukaryota; Viridiplantae; Streptophyta; Magnoliopsida; Rosales; Cannabaceae. The transcript has 2 exons. The record is from RefSeq and is a predicted model, not a curated record.